UGGGGAAUAUUGCACAAUGGGCGCAAGCCUGAUGCAGCCAUGCCGCGUGUAUGAAGAAGGCCUUCGGGUUGUAAAGUACUUUCAGCGGGGAGGAAGGCGAUAAGGUUAAUAACCUUGUCGAUUGACGUUACCCGCAGAAGAAGCACCGGCUAACUCCGUGCCAGCAGCCGCGGUAAUACGGAGGGUUCAAGCGUUAAACGGAAUUACUGGGCGUAAAGCGCACGCAGGCGGUCUGUCAAGUCGGAUGUGAAAUCCCCGGGCUCAACCUGGGAACUGCAUUCGAAACUGGCAGGCUAGAGUCUUGUAGAGGGGGGUAGAAUUCCAGGUGUAGCGGUGAAAUGCGUAGAGAUCUGGAGGAAUACCGGUGGCGAAGGCGGCCCCCUGGACAAAGACUGACGCUCAGGUGCGAAAGCGUGGGGAGCAAACA
RNAcentral lists this ribosomal RNA (427 nucleotides) under uncultured bacterium. RNAcentral describes it as "partial 16S ribosomal RNA". It matches the Rfam family "Bacterial small subunit ribosomal RNA", at positions 355 to 774 of the family's 1533-position model. The record is from RNAcentral.